Molecule: small RNA, 118 nt
Filed under: uncultured Caecibacter sp.
Lineage: Bacteria; Bacillati; Bacillota; Negativicutes; Veillonellales; Veillonellaceae
Description: ydaO/yuaA leader
Rfam family: c-di-AMP riboswitch aptamer (ydaO/yuaA leader)
About the family: This family represents a conserved RNA structure found upstream of the ydaO and yuaA genes in Bacillus subtilis and related genes in other bacteria. The ydaO/yuaA element is thought to act as a genetic "off" switch for the ydaO and yuaA genes in its native state. It is believed that the element may be triggered during osmotic shock leading to activation of ydaO, a predicted amino acid transporter gene, and members of the yuaA-yubG operon which code for KtrA and KtrB K+ transporters.
Source: RNAcentral
UUUAUGUCGAAUCCUCAUAUGAGGUACGGAGAAACCAAUCUUUGGGGGUGAAUCUGCUUUUUGGCAGAGGGCUGCCUCGAGCCUAACCCGUCAGCUAACUUCGGAGACAGAGAGGAGA